Molecule: RNA transcript, 859 nt
Organism: Hevea brasiliensis (rubber tree)
Lineage: Eukaryota; Viridiplantae; Streptophyta; Magnoliopsida; Malpighiales; Euphorbiaceae
Exons: 4
Source: RefSeq, a predicted model, not a curated record
AUCCUAGUUGAGCCAGAUUCUACUAAUCCGACGGUUCUCAGCAUCCUAAACCUUUACAUCCAAAAGAUCUUUGUUUCUUAAACCCUAAAUCCCCAUUUUAGUACUCACCUUUUUCUGCAUUUCACUCAUUUUUCACUUCGAUUCUCCAAGGACUCAAGAACAGUUUUGACGCUGAAAUGGCUUGGCGCAGUGGAGGAUCGUUCUCACGCGCUCUCGUCUCCGCCGCUAGGGCUCCAUCUCGCCUCUCCUCGCCGCCGCUCCCCCGCAUCCGUCCGCCGUCCAGUGCCUCCCCUCGGCUACAGUCGCGCCGACUGUCCUUUGCUACCUCUAGGAACAUGGGAGAACUAGGAUGUAUGCAAUCAUUCUUGCCUCUGCAUAGCAUGGUGUCUACGAACCACCUCACGUCCCGCCUCAAUGCUAAUUUGCGGGCUUUUUGCGAGCUGUCUCAUGGUACCUUCUACCGCACUUGUCAGGAUCGCUAGUAGUCUCUUUGGAGGAAUGGAAAAGACGGGUGAUGCACGUGGACUUUCAAUCAGCUAAAGGUGCAGGAUUAUUGCCAAGAUUGUACUUGAAGGGCAGUUCGAUGUGUGCAGAAUAAUGCAACAACAAGAGUCAGAGAGUGGGUGCACCCUAGAGGUCUUAGGUUUUUUAGGUAGGAAUAUUUUAAUAAAGUGUCGUGUUUUUAUUAUACUUCAGAGAUUAAUCUUGAAAUGUUCUUACGUUUGGGACAAUCAAAUGGAGGCUUUGGUAGGCAACUAUAUUUUACUUGUAAUUGUGACAGGCAAUAUUUACUUUGUUUCUGCCUGGUAUCUGCAAGAUUAUGCUGAUUAUAACCUUGUUAUUUAUUGGGUUUUCUAUA